This 1932-nucleotide long non-coding RNA is filed under the name Malus domestica (apple). RNAcentral's name for it is "long non-coding RNA (MDOM_LNC013624)". Lineage: Eukaryota; Viridiplantae; Streptophyta; Magnoliopsida; Rosales; Rosaceae. The record is from RNAcentral.
UGUACUGCACUACACUGCACUUAAGUCGGAACUACCUAUAGUAGUCUGUACGACUAUGAUGGUGAAUUAAUACGCUCUAGUGCUUCUCUCAUUAAUCAUCUGUGCAUAUAAUCUAAGGUCACCUACUAGUCGGAACCACCUCUAGUGGUCUGUACGACUAGCAUGUCGGAACCCUCACAUGGUCUAUACGACAUGCACCAACUUGGAUCCAAGGUGAGCGUGCGGUGCGGUGAAUAAUAUGAGCACUAACACCAGGGGUGUAGGUUAUGAGCUCUCAACACAAUUCACAUCAUCAAUGAUUCACAUGAAUAACAUAAAACUCACCUGAUACUCACCUAUGCGUCCACAGCACCAAUUCACAUAAAUAUGCAUCAAUUAUCAAUCCAUAUAAUUUAUAAUAUGCAUGCUUGGCAAUUGAAAACAUACUUUCAUAUAAAUUCAAUUUCUGGGAACAUUAAUAGUAUAUAGGUAAUACGAAAAACAAAACUGCCCACUCACUGGUAAGUCGAUGGGUCGUAACCCCCGUGAUGUCCCUGGAUGCGCUCGUCCUCGGGAUAGGUGUCACCUAUAUGCGAAACAACUAUAAAAAAGUUAAUUAAUGCACAUAACCGAUAAUUUGAAAUAACUUCUCAUACGGUGCUCAAUUUGGGUAUAUGAAUAUACCACAUCGACCUACUCGACGUCACGAACGUUGAGAAAGUUUUAGAAAUUUUUUUUGACGUGGCACGCGCCCCCACGCGCCAGGGCAGCACGGGUACAUGCGCCCCCCACGCGCGUCUUCUUCCUUGGUUCGCCGGACUGUGUUUUCCGGUGGCUGGAAAACUGGGGAUUUUUCAAUCCCCUUGUUCUCCCUCAUUUCUUAACCGUUUUCUUCGUAUUUUAUAUCAAUUUGAAGCCCUCAACAUGUAGAAUCAUGAUAGACUAGUUUCAAGGUCUAAAAUCCACUAGAUUUUACCUGAGAAAGCUCGAUAAUCCGGCCAAAUUUGAAAAACUCCGUUCUCAGUCCUUCAACGUCCAAAUUCUACCAACGAAGUACCCCGAAGCUCGUGAGGAUCUCCUUAAGCUCACUGUGAGCUUGAAAUUCCCUGAAAUGCAAGAUUUUACCUGUGCAUGAACAAUGCACAUUUUCGGGGUUAGGGUUUCACGACAAUUCUGAGGGUUUUAACUUCCACAAAUCACAUAUACGAACUCACAAGCUUACUAGGAGUUCAAAUCUUACCUUAGAACCUUCGAUCCGUGAAGAAAUGGGAGGUUCUUAGCUUGUCCGUACAAUUCGAGAGGGAGAGAGAGAGAAAGCCGUGAGGGAGGAGAGAGAGAAACACGGGGGAGGGAGAGAGGGAAGGAAGUGUGUGUGUGUGGUCUAUCACAACCCCUCACCAUCCAUUUCUUUUUCCUAACUCCCUAACCACAUAAAUUACAAACCAACAUUUUAAUCUCACUUAAGUUAUUUCCCAAAGCUUAUGAAAAUUUAGUCUAAAUAAUAUGUCACACACACACACAUACCUUAAUACCCGUCAAGGGUGAUUCCGCCAUUUCAUGUCCCCGAUAUAAAGAAUCAUAGGACGGGCUGUGACACUAGUAGUUUCUAAUUGAUGUCUUGUAUUUGUACCAUACUUUACCAAUACCGAAACUACUGAGCAUCGGUCAACGUUAUACCGUCAAGGACCUAGAAGAGUUUCCCUCCAACCAGGAGGCCAAUCACAGCGCGACACGUGUCGACAUCAGAAGCCAAUCAUAGCGCGACAUGUGUUAACAUCAGAAGCCAAUCACAACACAACACGUGUCAAUGUCAGAAUGAAACUAGAAACUCUCUUCUAUAAAUAGAGAUCAUUCUCUCACAAUAUUUCUGAAUGUCAUUUGUACUAAAUCAUUCAUUAGUACUCACUAAAGGAGAGCUUGAACUUAUGUACUUGUGUAAACCCUUCACAAUUA